UGAAAUAAAUGCUGUCCAGCCAGAUGUCGGGACCACAAAUCAAAUCAAUCAUCCUGCGAUAAGGACGCCAAAUAUACAUUUUUUUCAACUUUUGUAUAUAUUUAGGAAUGACCACUUCAUUGUUUAAUAUAUGAGUUGUACGGUUAUCAUCGAUGACAUAAUUCGAAGAUAAGAAGCAGAGCGAAAAUUAUAUUAUCAGAACAAAGUGCAAUUAAUGUUAUCCUGCGUCCUGCAUUCCAGUCGGGAUUGGUCAUCGUUAAAAAAUCAUCCCGAGUAAAAAUUUGGUCCGAUUUCCGGCAGAAAUUUGGUCCAAUUUACUGCAGACAAACUGCAUGCAGGGCGAUUUGUGCAAAUAAUUGUGCAGAAAUAGGAUAUACAAAAAAUAUGCAAGAUCAGUGGCCGCGGAAGCCGUGGGGACAUCUUGGGACAGUAACAUUGCAAGAUAGGGGAUGGAGGGGUUUGUAUAACGUGGGCAGAUGAUGACGAUAUUAAACUAUCGUGGGGACAUUGCCCCUCUCCGCGGCCAAGCUUUCGCCAAUUACAGCAGAAUUCGACACACUGAUUUCUACUCGGGUCAAUUUCAUUCAUUUUAUCAAGUUCCCAACUCAUAACAAGCCAAUAAAUGCAGUAUAAAAAUGCAUGCAUAUCA
Long non-coding RNA from Folsomia candida, 649 nucleotides. RefSeq lists it as uncharacterized. The record is from RefSeq and is a predicted model, not a curated record. The transcript has 3 exons. Lineage: Eukaryota; Metazoa; Arthropoda; Collembola; Entomobryomorpha; Isotomidae.